GGACAACACAGGAUGAAUGUUACAACAACAAGGAUUGUACCUGACUGCAAUGCAUUUCAAUGAAAACGCACGUCUGCAGGCAACUAUCUCAUCUGGAGAGCACAUGUAGAUUAUUCUUUCCCAAGUUCAAGAAGGGAGAAGGCACAGCAAAGCCUAUCAGAACUCCCGAAACCCUAAACUGUGCUGUGGAUUCAUCUCCAGUUGUCUCAGACAAGGCCAGCAUCACCACACCACCUCCUGAUGCAAGCGUCUUCACUACACAUCCUGAUGCAUGCGGCUUCACUACACGUCCUGAUGCCACAUCUUCACACCACCUUCUGCACCACAUCUGAACUCAGUCCACACCCAGUGGGAGGUACCCUUCACAACAGGAUCACACGUACUUCCACACAUCUCGCAGAAAGGACGUGCAGGACAAGAUGACUGAUUGCGUAUUUGUGACCCAUCAUAUCAAAAUGAGGGUUAAGUCGAAUUUGGUCAAAAUGACCUAUUUACAUUU
Long non-coding RNA from Austrofundulus limnaeus, 499 nucleotides. RefSeq lists it as uncharacterized. The transcript has 3 exons. The record is from RefSeq and is a predicted model, not a curated record. Lineage: Eukaryota; Metazoa; Chordata; Actinopteri; Cyprinodontiformes; Rivulidae.